Molecule: long non-coding RNA, 1003 nt
Filed under: Phasianus colchicus (ring-necked pheasant)
Lineage: Eukaryota; Metazoa; Chordata; Aves; Galliformes; Phasianidae
Description: lncRNA (ENSPCLG00000009162.1)
Source: RNAcentral
AAGACACAAAGAAACUGAAUGAAGUAAAUACAAGAAGAAAUGAAAAAUACCACAUCCAUUCACAGAGUGUAAUUGUGACGUCUUAACUAACCACCCAGAUGAUCCCUCUUGAGCUCAGAACAAGAAUCCUCUCCAGCCUGAAGGAUGGGGAUAUUCAACUGUUCUCAGAGAUCUUGUCACUCCUACAACAUGGGGUUUGUUACAUAGAAACGAGAACAGGAAGCUAAUUUGUUCUGUAAACUGCCAGGCCCCAAGAGACCUGCUGAAACACUUUCAAGAGACUUCAGCUUUCUUAUUCCAUGAAGUCUUAAAAGUCAACUCUAUCCAUUUGCACAUGAAUACAGAUAUCCUGACUCUCUUAACACAGCCUUCUAUGAAGCACAGCUUCCUGAGUUGCAGCAACAAGCACAAUGCUACUGUGCAGUCAUCCUUCCAGAAUAAUUCAAGAAUGCAUUAUUUAGACUAAAUGCUUCUAAGACUCUGUACAAUUUGUUGGCUAUUUGCUUCCAAAUUGAAAGUCUCUAUGAACUCCACUUUCCACAUUUUCUUUGUUAAGCCAUGAACAAGAUUCUCCUGUCAGCAGAGAUUCAUUAACAUUGUCACAAAAGACAGCUUUCUGCCCUUGUUUAUCAUGUGAAACAGCGAUCCUGUAUUUUUUAGGUCUUUUAAAUUCUGAUUAAUAUGGUCCUGUGCAGUACGGACAGCACAGCCUAUGCAAUGAAGGGACAGUGCUGUUGAGGGGAGCAUCCCACUACUUGAAUCUUCAGCUGUUUAGGGUGGGUACUGGUGAGGUCUGUACAAGCUUGACAGAGUAGAUGCAUCUCUACCCUGAACUUCACGUGACAUGUUCCAAGACAUUAGUUUGCCUUUGUUCAUUUUUUCCUACAUGUCGUAUUUAGCACUGUUGCUUACCUGCAAAAGUAAUUUUGAUGUGAUAUGAAAAGCAGCAUUACAUUCAUAUUGUCAGUAAAAACACAGAAAAAGAAUAUAAAGACAAUAAAAU